GACGAACGCUGGCGGCGUGCUUAACACAUGCAAGUCGAGCGGAAAGGCCCUUCGGGUACUCGAGCGGCGAACGGGUGAGUAACACGUGAGUAACCUGCCCUUCACUUUGGGAUAACCCUCGGAAACGGGGGCUAAUACCGGAUAUGACAUGGGAUCGCAUGGUCUUGUGUGGAAAGUUUUUCGGUGGGGAUGGCUCGCGGCCUAUCAGCUUGUUGGUGGGG
This 221-nucleotide ribosomal RNA is filed under the name uncultured bacterium. RNAcentral's name for it is "partial 16S ribosomal RNA". It matches the Rfam family "Bacterial small subunit ribosomal RNA", at positions 28 to 257 of the family's 1533-position model. The record is from RNAcentral.